This 490-nucleotide ribosomal RNA is filed under the name Pseudomonas sp. 01WB04.4-9. Its description in RNAcentral is "bacterial SSU rRNA". It matches the Rfam family "Bacterial small subunit ribosomal RNA", at positions 16 to 501 of the family's 1533-position model. The record is from RNAcentral. Lineage: Bacteria; Pseudomonadati; Pseudomonadota; Gammaproteobacteria; Pseudomonadales; Pseudomonadaceae.
AUCCAUGCUCAGAUUGAACGCUGGCGGCAGGCCUAACACAUGCAAGUCGAGCGGUAGAGAGAAGCUUGCUUCUCUUGAGAGCGGCGGACGGGUGAGUAAUGCCUAGGAAUCUGCCUGGUAGUGGGGGAUAACGUUCGGAAACGGACGCUAAUACCGCAUACGUCCUACGGGAGAAAGCAGGGGACCUUCGGGCCUUGCGCUAUCAGAUGAGCCUAGGUCGGAUUAGCUAGUUGGUGAGGUAAUGGCUCACCAAGGCGACGAUCCGUAACUGGUCUGAGAGGAUGAUCAGUCACACUGGAACUGAGACACGGUCCAGACUCCUACGGGAGGCAGCAGUGGGGAAUAUUGGACAAUGGGCGAAAGCCUGAUCCAGCCAUGCCGCGUGUGUGAAGAAGGUCUUCGGAUUGUAAAGCACUUUAAGUUGGGAGGAAGGGCAGUUACCUAAUACGUGAUUGUUUUGACGUUACCGACAGAAUAAGCACCGGCUAAC